This 263-nucleotide ribosomal RNA is filed under the name uncultured bacterium. RNAcentral describes it as "partial 16S ribosomal RNA". It matches the Rfam family "Bacterial small subunit ribosomal RNA", at positions 793 to 1055 of the family's 1533-position model. The record is from RNAcentral.
GUCCACGCCGUAAACGAUGGGCACUAGGCGUCGGGGGAGCGACCCUCCCGGUGCCGUCGCUAACGCAGUAAGUGCCCCGCCUGGGGAGUACGGCCGCAAGGCUGAAACUCAAAGGAAUUGACGGGGCCCGCACAAGCGGUGGAGCAUGUGGUUUAAUUCGAAGCAACGCGAAGAACCUUACCUGGGCUUGACAUGCUGGUGUAAGCCGGUGGAAACAUCGGCCCCUCUUCGGAGCGCCAGCACAGGUGCUGCAUGGCUGUCGU